UACGGAGGGGGCAAGCGUUGUUCGGAAUUAUUGGGCGUAAAGCGUAUGUAGGCGGCUAGGUAAGUCAGGCGUGCAAGCCCGUGGCUCAACCACGGAAUUGCGCUUGAAACUGCUUGGCUUGAGUACAGGAGAGGAAAGCGGAAUUCCCAGUGUAGCGGUGAAAUGCAUUGAUAUUGGGAAGAACAUCUGUGGCGAAGGCGGCUUUCUGGCCUGUUACUGACGCUGAGGAGCGAAAGCAUGGGGAGCAAACAGG
This 253-nucleotide ribosomal RNA is filed under the name uncultured bacterium. RNAcentral's name for it is "partial 16S ribosomal RNA". It matches the Rfam family "Bacterial small subunit ribosomal RNA", at positions 524 to 776 of the family's 1533-position model. The record is from RNAcentral.